GAUGAACGCUGGCGGCGUGCCUAACACAUGCAAGUCGAGCGAACCCUUCGGGGUGAGCGGCGGACGGGUGAGUAACGCGUGGGUAACCUGCCCUAUACACACGGAUAACGUACCGAAAGGUACGCUAAUACGGGAUAAAGUUGUUGGAUGGCAUCUUCUAACAGUCAAAGCUCCGGCGGUAUAGGAUGGACCCGCGGCUGAUUAGCUAGUUGGUGAGGUAAUGGCUCACCAAGGCGACGAUCAGUAGCCGACCUGAGAGGGUGAUCGGCCACAAUGGAACUGAGACACGGUCCAGACUCCUACGGGAGGCAGCAGUGGGGAAUAUUGCACAAUGGGCGAAAGCCUGAUGCAGCAACGCCGCGUGAGCGAUGAAGGUCUUCGGAUCGUAAAGCUCUGUCCUCAAGGAAGAUAAUGACGGUACUUGAGGAGGAAGCCCCGGCUAACUACGUGCCAGCCGCCGCCGUAA
Molecule: ribosomal RNA, 466 nt
Filed under: uncultured bacterium
Lineage: Bacteria
Description: partial 16S ribosomal RNA
Rfam family: Bacterial small subunit ribosomal RNA
Source: RNAcentral